Homo sapiens (human) is the source of this 1492-nucleotide long non-coding RNA. The record is from Ensembl. Lineage: Eukaryota; Metazoa; Chordata; Mammalia; Primates; Hominidae.
ACGCCAGGACAGCCCCGAAGACGAGAAUGCCUCGCUCCUCCUAGGACGGGAGGAAAAUCCCACAAAUCCUGUCUACUCCAAGCAGCCGCGCCCCUCGGGAGACCACCCCAGUUGGAGGGGCCCACUCCAGCCACCGCUACACCGGGACGCGCUCCUCCUCCCCCUGUGCCCGCCCCUUCUCGUGAGGGACCACCAGGAGGCCCCUCGAUUCCCCAGCAAAACACAGGUUUUGGAGCCAGAGUUUCUGAGUUUGAAUGUUUGGUCUGCUACUGACCAACUCUAUGGGCUUGGGCCUGCAAAGAAAACAUCAAAGAAGAAGGUCAAAAACCAAUUACAUUCUAGGAGUGACCUUGAUGACUUAACUCUGUAAUCUGCAGCAACCUCAGAGGAUCAUGGGAUGCAUUAUGCACGUCAUGGAAUGGAUUGUAAUGUGUAACAUCUAUGAAAUCAAAGGAUGAAGAAGAUCGUGCCCAGAGCUCUCCUUGGGGGUGGAUGACAGAAUGAACAUUUACUCUGGGCUCACUGGAAAAGCUCCAACGUCUUGGAAAUUGAGUGGGUAAGCACAACCUUGAGCACAUUGUCAGCAUUCCAUUUCUUUUUUGAAUAAGAAUAUGCAGUUUUACCAAUAUCAUUGGUUCAAGAGGCUUUCCUUUCCCAGUUGUGUAUUCUUGGCACCUUUGUUGAAGAUCACUUGACUGUGUAUGUGUGCAUUUAGUUCUGGGCUCUCUUUUCUCUCCCAGGGGUUCUAAUGGGUGCCCUUAUGCUAGGACCAUGCUGUCUAAAUUUCUGUGGCUUUGUUGUAAAUUUGAAUCUUAUGAAUGUCUGUCCUCCAACACUAUUCUUUUUCAUGUUAUCAUGGCUAUUUGAGGCCAUGGGAAAAUUCAUAAAAAUAAUUUUAGGAUUAGCUUUUCCAUUUCUGCACACAUGGCCAUUACCAGUUCGAUAAUAGUUGUUUUGAGUCUGUAGAUCAUUUGUGUAAUAUUGUGUAUUAGUAAGAUUUAGACUUCCUAUCCAUGAAUACAGGAUGCCUUUUCACUUAUUUUUACCUUCUUUGCUUUCUUUCAGUAGUCUUUCUUUCUAAUCACUCUACAAGUAUUUCACCUCCUUGGUUAGGUUUAUUCCUAAGUAUUUAGUUAUUUUAGAUGUUAUUAUAAGUGGGAUUACAUUUGUCAUCUUCUUGUUGGAUCAUUCACUGUUGGUUUGUAUUAACAAACCAAUCAUUUGAAUAUUGGCCUUGUACCCUGCAACUUUGAUGUAAUUAUUAACACUAAUAGCAUUCUUGGAGAUUAUUUCUGAUUUUCUAUAUGUAGAAUGAUAGAGAAGUUCUGUUUCACACCUAUUUUCUCAAGAUAGUCUAUAUUGAUACUGUAAAGAUAUGUUCAUAUUCACCUACUGAAUGAUGUCCUUCCAAAAGGCCUUGUUAGAUUAUUCAAAAAAUAUUUUGUCAUUACAUUCCACAAUUUAAUAAAAAAUAGUAAUUCAUUGUCCAUAA